This 449-nucleotide ribosomal RNA is filed under the name uncultured bacterium. RNAcentral describes it as "bacterial SSU rRNA". It matches the Rfam family "Bacterial small subunit ribosomal RNA", at positions 29 to 517 of the family's 1533-position model. The record is from RNAcentral.
AACGAACGCUGGCGGCAGGCCUAACACAUGCAAGUCGAGCGCCCCGCAAGGGGAGCGGCAGACGGGUGAGUAACGCGUGGGAACCUUCCCAGUGGUACGGAAUAGCCCAGGGAAACUUGGAGUAAUUCCGUAUACGCCCCGGACUUGAUUCGGGGGAAAGAUUUAUCGCCAUUGGAUGGGCCCGCGUCGGAUUAGCUAGUUGGUGAGGUAACGGCUCACCAAGGCGACGAUCCGUAGCUGGUCUGAGAGGAUGAUCAGCCACACUGGGACUGAGACACGGCCCAGACUCCUACGGGAGGCAGCAGUGGGGAAUAUUGGACAAUGGGCGCAAGCCUGAUCCAGCCAUGCCGCGUGAGUGACGAAGGCCUUAGGGUUGUAAAGCUCUUUUGCCGGGACGAUAAUGACGGUACCCGGAGAAUAAGUCCCGGCUAACUUCGUGCCAGCCGCCG